RNAcentral lists this ribosomal RNA (463 nucleotides) under uncultured bacterium. Its description in RNAcentral is "bacterial SSU rRNA". It matches the Rfam family "Bacterial small subunit ribosomal RNA", at positions 335 to 784 of the family's 1533-position model. The record is from RNAcentral.
ACUCCUACGGGAGGCAGCAGUGGGGAAUAUUGGACAAUGGGCGAAAGACCUGAUCCAGCCAUGCCGCGUGUGUGAAGAAGGUCUUCGGAUUGUAAAGCACUUUAAGUUGGGUAGGAAGGGCGAGUAAGUUAAUACCUUGCUGUUUUGUACGUUACCAACAGAAUAAGCACCGGCUAACUUCGUGCCAGCAGCCGCGGUAAUACGAAGGGGUGCAAGCGUUAAUCGGAAUUACUGGGCGUAAAGCGCGCGUAGGUGGUUCAGCAAGUUGGAUGUGAAAUCCCCGGGGCUCAACCUGGGAACUGCAUCCAAAACUACUGAGCUAGAGUACGGUAGAGGGUGGUGGAAUUUCCUGUGUAGCGGUGAAAUGCGUAGAUAUAGGAAGGAACACCAGUGGCGAAGGCGACCACCUGGACUGAUACUGACACUGAGGUGCGAAAGCGUGGGGAGCAAAUAGGAUUAGAUA